UGAAGCCACAAUCAUCUUAUACAUACAUGGAGAAGCACGUCCAGGCACUAUUGAUUCUUCUCGUAUGCUAUGCUGUUCAUGCACAAUGUCGAGCCACAGGCGUGCAUCACAUCGACGACGAUACGUGCUACAAGAGUGACACCAUCCUGUCGUGCUUUUUGUGUUACCCCGAUAACCAUUGCUUUAGGACGAUGGACGACUGCAAAGCCCACUGCAUACGACCUCCGGUGGCCGCAAUCCCAUCUUAUGCACGUCCAUGAGCGUGGGCGGUUAGUAUUAGCUGGAAGAAUGUAUUAGAUUUGUGUUAUGUGCCGAUGAGGAACGGAAAUUGGGAAUGGCUCCUAGGUGCAUAUGCAUCCAUUGUCUAAAUACACAUUUUGAAAAGUUGAAAAAUUCCAAA
Long non-coding RNA from Aegilops tauschii subsp. strangulata, 400 nucleotides. RefSeq lists it as uncharacterized. The record is from RefSeq and is a predicted model, not a curated record. NCBI's taxonomy places the organism in Eukaryota, Viridiplantae, Streptophyta, Magnoliopsida, Poales, Poaceae.